GAUGAACGCUGGCGGCGUGCCUAAUACAUGCAAGUCGAGCGAACGGACGAGAAGCUUGCUUCUCUGAUGUUAGCGGCGGACGGGUGAGUAACACGUGGAUAACCUACCUAUAAGACUGGGAUAACUUCGGGAAACCGGAGCUAAUACCGGAUAAUAUUUUGAACCGCAUGGUUCAAAAGUGAAAGACGGUCUUGCUGUCACUUAUAGAUGGAUCCGCGCUGCAUUAGCUAGUUGGUAAGGUAACGGCUUACCAAGGCAACGAUGCAUAGCCGACCUGAGAGGGUGAUCGGCCACACUGGAACUGAGACACGGUCCAGACUCCUACGGGAGGCAGCAGUAGGGAAUCUUCCGCAAUGGGCGAAAGCCUGACGGAGCAACGCCGCGUGAGUGAUGAAGGUCUUCGGAUCGUAAAACUCUGUUAUUAGGGAAGAACAUAUGUGUAGGUAACUGUGCACAUCCUGACGGUACCUAAUCAGAAAGCCACGGCUAACUACGUG
This 497-nucleotide ribosomal RNA is filed under the name uncultured bacterium. RNAcentral's name for it is "partial 16S ribosomal RNA". It matches the Rfam family "Bacterial small subunit ribosomal RNA", at positions 28 to 507 of the family's 1533-position model. The record is from RNAcentral.